This is a long non-coding RNA of Lycium barbarum (goji berry), 453 nucleotides long. RefSeq lists it as uncharacterized. The transcript is spliced from 3 exons. Lineage: Eukaryota; Viridiplantae; Streptophyta; Magnoliopsida; Solanales; Solanaceae. The record is from RefSeq and is a predicted model, not a curated record.
AAGAGAAAAAAAAAAUUCCAAGUCUUUAGACUUUGAUCCAAAAAUCUCUUCCUUCUUGGAUUCUUGAUGAGUUUAAGGCCCUCUACAACGUGGUAUAAUUAGUUUGGCAAGAAAACUCCGUUUGCGGAAAGGGGAAAAUUGAAGAAAAAGGUUUUAGGCGAAACGGAGUUUGAUUUUGGACAAGCGUAAGGAGCGCGAAAGGUACAGAGGUUCGUGAUCUGCCAGUGUAGAACCCACAUUCUGCUAUCACAGAGUGCUCCUUUGAUCCGGAGCCCACAUUUUGGUACAUAUGUUUUUUUGCUACGUAUAUGUUUCUGUACAUUUGACUAUUUGGGUACGGCGGGGUCCUGUCCCGUCAUAUGUCUUCGUUUUGAUUUGUAGAGGCAUGUAGUCAUAUAUGUGGGUCAUGGGCAUUAUGUGUGUGCGUUUGUUUGUGAUCUGCAUCUUAGUGCG